AUGGCUGUUUGUCGGACCUUUCAGUAGGCACGGCUCAGCUGAAAUACACGAGCGACCCAAUUGAAGAAUACGGUUUGACUUGGCGUAAUAAUUCUAUUCGCUAAGGACGUAGAAUUCAAAUAGAGGCGCUUCUAAUGCGACUUUUAUUAGUCAUUUAAAUUUUAGACCUCAAAUCAGUCAGGACUACCCGCUGAACUUAA
RNAcentral lists this unclassified non-coding RNA (200 nucleotides) under soil metagenome. Its description in RNAcentral is "partial contains internal transcribed spacer 2 and large subunit ribosomal RNA". The record is from RNAcentral.